RNAcentral lists this ribosomal RNA (401 nucleotides) under uncultured bacterium. RNAcentral's name for it is "bacterial SSU rRNA". It matches the Rfam family "Bacterial small subunit ribosomal RNA", at positions 29 to 417 of the family's 1533-position model. The record is from RNAcentral.
AAUCAACGCUGGCGGCGUGCCUAACACAUGCAAGUCGAACGCGAAAGCCCCGCAAGGGGUAAGUAGAGUGGCAAACGGGUGAGUAACACGUGGGUGACCUGCCCUCGAGUGGGGGAUAACGUCCCGAAAGGGGACGCUAAUACCGCAUAAUAUGCCGCCUUUUAAGAGGUGGACAUCAAAGCUGGGGAUCGCAAGACCUAGCGCUUGAAGAGGGGCCCGCGCCUGAUUAGCUAGUUGGUGGGGUAANGGCUCACCAAGGCAACGAUCAGUAUCCGGCCUGAGAGGGCGGACGGACACACUGGGACUGAGACACGGCCCAGACUCCUACGGGAGGCAGCAGUGGGAAUAUUGCACAAUGGGCGAAGCCUGAUGCAGCGACGCCGCGUGAGGGAUGACGGCCU